RNAcentral lists this ribosomal RNA (914 nucleotides) under uncultured bacterium. RNAcentral's name for it is "bacterial SSU rRNA". It matches the Rfam family "Bacterial small subunit ribosomal RNA", at positions 8 to 916 of the family's 1533-position model. The record is from RNAcentral.
AGAGUUUGAUCAUGGCUCAGAUUGAACGCUGGCGGCAGGCUUAACACAUGCAAGUCGAGCGGGGUGAUGUAGCUUGCUACAUUACCUAGCGGCGGACGGGUGAGUAAUGCUUAGGAAUCUGCCUAUUAGUGGGGGACAACAUUCCGAAAGGAAUGCUAAUACCGCAUACGCCCUACGGGGGAAAGCAGGGGAUCUUCGGACCUUGCGCUAAUAGAUGAGCCUAAGUCAGAUUAGCUAGUUGGUGGGGUAAAGGCCUACCAAGGCGACGAUCUGUAGCGGGUCUGAGAGGAUGAUCCGCCACACUGGGACUGAGACACGGCCCAGACUCCUACGGGAGGCAGCAGUGGGGAAUAUUGGACAAUGGGCGAAAGCCUGAUCCAGCCAUGCCGCGUGUGUGAAGAAGGCCUUUUGGUUGUAAAGCACUUUAAGCGAGGAGGAGGCUACCGAGAUUAAUACUCUUGGAUAGUGGACGUUACUCGCAGAAUAAGCACCGGCUAACUCUGUGCCAGCAGCCGCGGUAAUACAGAGGGUGCGAGCGUUAAUCGGAUUUACUGGGCGUAAAGCGUGCGUAGGCGGCUUUUUAAGUCGGAUGUGAAAUCCCUGAGCUUAACUUAGGAAUUGCAUUCGAUACUGGGAAGCUAGAGUAUGGGAGAGGAUGGUAGAAUUCCAGGUGUAGCGGUGAAAUGCGUAGAGAUCUGGAGGAAUACCGAUGGCGAAGGCAGCCAUCUGGCCUAAUACUGACGCUGAGGUACGAAAGCAUGGGGAGCAAACAGGAUUAGAUACCCUGGUAGUCCAUGCCGUAAACGAUGUCUACUAGCCGUUGGGGCCUUUGAGGCUUUAGUGGCGCAGCUAACGCGAUAAGUAGACCGCCUGGGGAGUACGGUCGCAAGACUAAAACUCAAAUGAAUUGACGG